CACAAGCGGUGGAUGAUGUGGUUUAAUUCGAUGCAACGCGAAAACCUUACCCACCUUGACAUGGCAGGAAUCCCGAAGAGAGUUGGAGUGCUCGAAAGAGAACCUGCACACAGGUGCUGCAUGGCUGUCGUCAGCUCGUGUCGUGAGAUGUUGGGUUAAGUCCCGCAACGAGCGCAACCCUUGCCAUUAGUUGCUACGAAAGGGCACUCUAAUGGGACUGCCGGUGACAAACCGGAGGAAGGUGGGGAUGACGUCAAGUCCUCAUGGCCCUUAUAGGUGGGGCUACACACGUCAUACAAUGGCCGGUACAGAGGGUAGCCAACCCGCGAGGGGGAGCCAAUCCCACAAAGCCGGUCGUAGUCCGGAUCGCAGUCUGCAACUCGACUGCGUGAAGUCGGAACCGCUAGUAAUCGCGGAUCAGCAUGUCGCGGUGAAUACGUUCCCGGGUCUU
Molecule: ribosomal RNA, 451 nt
Filed under: uncultured Allobrachymonas sp.
Lineage: Bacteria; Pseudomonadati; Pseudomonadota; Betaproteobacteria; Burkholderiales; Comamonadaceae
Description: bacterial SSU rRNA
Rfam family: Bacterial small subunit ribosomal RNA
Source: RNAcentral